CCCAGUGAGUAUAUUAAAUGGCUGCAACGAGAGUUGUACUAAGGUAGCGCGAUAAUUUGUCUCUUAAUUAGAGAAUGGUAUGAAGGGUUAGACGUGGGAUUAUUGUCUCUAAAAAAUACAGUUAAGUUUCCUUUUAAAUGAAAAGGUUUAAAUUUAUUAAAAGACGAGAAGACCCUGUCGAGCUUAAUUAAAUAAAAAACUAGAUAUGGUUAAAUGAAAAGUGUUAAUAGUUUAAUUGUUGGCUGAGUUUUUAAUUGAAGUUUAGUUGGGGAGAGCUGAGUUUAAGGUAAUAAACUUAAGAAAUACUAAAGAUCCUCUUUGAGAGAAGUUAGCAAAAGCUACCGCAGGGAUAACAGCGUAAUUCUUUUUAAGAGAUCUUAUUGAGGGAAGAGUUUGCGACCUCGAUGGUGGAUUAAAAAAACUUUUUGGUGUAGCAGCUAGAAGUUGUAAGACUGUUCGUCUUUUAAUUUUCU
This 473-nucleotide ribosomal RNA is filed under the name Ruditapes philippinarum (Manila clam). RNAcentral describes it as "partial 16S ribosomal RNA". It matches the Rfam family "Bacterial large subunit ribosomal RNA", at positions 1862 to 2597 of the family's 2925-position model. The record is from RNAcentral. Lineage: Eukaryota; Metazoa; Mollusca; Bivalvia; Venerida; Veneridae.